UCCUAGCCCCGAUGGGAACGACAUCCUUUUUUGUUUUUUGGCAAAGGGAAUAAGUUUGGAAAAACAAAAAAGAUAUAGUGGACAGCGGGAAAUAGC
Molecule: small RNA, 96 nt
Filed under: Chryseobacterium scophthalmum
Lineage: Bacteria; Pseudomonadati; Bacteroidota; Flavobacteriia; Flavobacteriales; Weeksellaceae
Description: Flavo-1 RNA
Rfam family: Flavo-1 RNA
Source: RNAcentral